This 86-nucleotide transfer RNA is filed under the name Kiritimatiellia bacterium. RNAcentral describes it as "tRNA-Leu". It matches the Rfam family "tRNA". Rfam says of the family: Transfer RNA (tRNA) molecules are approximately 80 nucleotides in length. The record is from RNAcentral. Lineage: Bacteria; Pseudomonadati; Kiritimatiellota; Kiritimatiellia.
GCUCGGGUGGUGAAAUGGCAGACACGCCAGCUUGAGGGGCUGGUGGGGGCAACCCCGUGGAGGUUCGAGUCCUCUCCCGAGCACCA